UACAGAGGGGGCAAGCGUUAUUCGGAAUUAUUGGGCGUAAAGGGCGCGUAGGCGGCCUGGCAAGUGGAAGGUGAAAUCCCUCGGCUUAACCGAGGAACUGCCCUCCAAACUGCUUGGCUUGAGUCCGGGAGAGGUGAGUGGAAUUCCCAGUGUAGCGGUGAAAUGCGUAGAUAUUGGGAGGAACACCAGUGGCGAAGGCGGCUCACUGGACCGGAACUGACGCUGAGGCGCGAAAGCGUGGUGAGCAAACGGG
RNAcentral lists this ribosomal RNA (253 nucleotides) under uncultured bacterium. RNAcentral describes it as "partial 16S ribosomal RNA". It matches the Rfam family "Bacterial small subunit ribosomal RNA", at positions 524 to 776 of the family's 1533-position model. The record is from RNAcentral.